GACGAACGCUGGCGGCGUGCUUAACACAUGCAAGUCGAACGGAAAGGCCCCUUUGGGGGUACUCGAGUGGCGAACGGGUGCGUAACACGUGAGUAACCUGCCCUUGACUUCGGGAUAACUUCAGGAAACUGGGGCUAAUACCGGAUAGGAAUCCUUGCUGCAUGGUGGGGGUUGGAAAGCUUCGGCGGUUUUGGAUGGACUCGCGGCUUAUCAGCUUGUUGGUGGGGUAGUGGCUUACCAAGGCUUUGACGGGUAGCCGGCCUGAGAGGGCGACCGGCCACAUUGGGACUGAGAUACGGCCCAGACUCCUACGGGAGGCAGCAGGGGGGAAUAUUGCACAAUGGGCGGAAGCCUGAUGCAGCAACGCCGCGGGCGGGAUGACGGCCUUAGGGUUGUAAACCGCUUUCAGCAGGGGCGAAGCUUGUGGUGACGGUACCUGCAGAAGAAGCACCGGCUAACUACGUG
RNAcentral lists this ribosomal RNA (465 nucleotides) under uncultured bacterium. RNAcentral's name for it is "partial 16S ribosomal RNA". It matches the Rfam family "Bacterial small subunit ribosomal RNA", at positions 28 to 507 of the family's 1533-position model. The record is from RNAcentral.